GACGAACGCUGGCGGCGUGCUUAACACAUGCAAGUCGAACGGAAAGGCCCUGCUUUUGUGGGGUGCUCGAGUGGCGAACGGGUGAGUAACACGUGAGUAACCUGCCCUUGACUUUGGGAUAACUUCAGGAAACUGGGGCGAAUACCGGAUAGGAGCUCCUGCUGCAUGGGGGGGGUUGGAAAGUUUCGGCGGUUGGGGAUGGACUCGCGGCUUAUCAGCUUGUUGGUGGGGUAGUGGCUUACCAAGGCUUUGACGGGUAGCCGGCCUGAGAGGGUGACCGGCCACAUUGGGCCUGCGAUACGGCCCAGACUCCUACGGGAGGCAGCAGUGGGGAAUAUUGCACAAUGGGCGGAAGCCUGAUGCAGCAACGCCGCGUGCGGGAUGACGGCCUUCGGGUUGUAAACCGCUUUCGCCUGUGACGAAGCGUGAGUGACGGUACUGGGUAAAGAAGCACCGGCUAACUACGUG
Molecule: ribosomal RNA, 468 nt
Filed under: uncultured bacterium
Lineage: Bacteria
Description: partial 16S ribosomal RNA
Rfam family: Bacterial small subunit ribosomal RNA
Source: RNAcentral